CCUACGGGAGGCAGCAGUGAGGAAUAUUGGUCAAUGGACGAGAGUCUGAACCAGCCAAGUAGCGUGAAGGAUGACUGCCCUAUGGGUUGUAAACUUCUUUUAUAUAGGAAUAAAACGUGGCACGUGUGCCUUUUUGCAUGUACUUUAUGAAUAAGGAUCGGCUAACUCCGUGCCAGCAGCCGCGGUAAUACGGAGGAUCCGAGCGUUAUCCGGAUUUAUUGGGUUUAAAGGGAGCGUAGAUGGGUUGUUAAGUCAGUUGUGAAAGUUUGCGGCUCAACCGUAAAAUUGCAAUUGAUACUGGCAGUCUUGAGUACAGUAGAGGUAGGCGGAAUUCGUGGUGUAGCGGUGAAAUGCUUAGAUAUCACGCAGAACCCCGAUUGCGAAGGCAGCAUACUGGUGCACAACUGACGCUCAGGCACGAAAGCGUGGGUAUCGAACAGGAUUAGAUACCCGUGUAGUC
RNAcentral lists this ribosomal RNA (460 nucleotides) under uncultured bacterium. RNAcentral describes it as "partial 16S ribosomal RNA". It matches the Rfam family "Bacterial small subunit ribosomal RNA", at positions 338 to 795 of the family's 1533-position model. The record is from RNAcentral.